GACGAACGCUGGCGGCGUGCUUAACACAUGCAAGUCGAACGAUGACGACCGAGCUUGCUCGGUCUGAUUAGUGGCGAAAGGGUGAGUAACACGUGAGCAACCUGCCCUUCACUCUGGGAUAACCUCGGGAAAUCGGGGCUAAUACCGGAUAUGAGCUCCUGUCGCAUGGCGGGUGUUGGAAAGUUUUUCGGUGAAGGAUGGGCUCGCGGCCUAUCAGUUUGUUGGUGAGGUAGUGGCUCACCAAGGCGAUGACGGGUAGCCGGCCUGAGAGGGCGACCGGCCACACUGGGACUGAGACACGGCCCAGACUCCUACGGGAGGCAGCAGUGGGGAAUAUUGCACAAUGGGCGAAAGCCUGAUGCAGCGACGCCGCGUGAGGGAUGACGGCCUUCGGGUUGUAAACCUCUUUCAGCAGGGAAGAAGCGAAAGUGACGGUACCUGCAGAAGAAGCGCCGGCUAACUACGUG
RNAcentral lists this ribosomal RNA (467 nucleotides) under uncultured bacterium. Its description in RNAcentral is "partial 16S ribosomal RNA". It matches the Rfam family "Bacterial small subunit ribosomal RNA", at positions 28 to 507 of the family's 1533-position model. The record is from RNAcentral.